Molecule: long non-coding RNA, 827 nt
Organism: Leopardus geoffroyi (Geoffroy's cat)
Lineage: Eukaryota; Metazoa; Chordata; Mammalia; Carnivora; Felidae
Exons: 3
Source: RefSeq, a predicted model, not a curated record
AUUCCGCGAGGGGCGGCCCUGUAAUGCGCUUCGGGGAAAUCCCAGCCCUGAGUCGGAUGGCAUCUAAGUUCUGUGCUCUGCACGGCUGCGGGAGGGUGAAGGUAGAGGUAUGCGGGUUACCAGUGGCGCUUGCUGCAAAAACUAGCGUGUACCCUGGGAACGACAGUAGGCCCUGGCUGCAGACUCCGGUGGUGGACUGCCUGCCGGCGAGGAAGACGCCGGAGAGCGGCAAAAUGUCGGGGUAUCGGAAAGCGUCUGCAGAGCCAAGCUUGCGUUCCAGCCUCUAGCCCAGCGGGCGGAGCCAGGGGUGGGGCCCGAAGCAGGGUGGGCCACUCAGGGACCAGGCCAAGCUGCGCGUCCGCGUCCGGGGCGGAACCCGAGUGUGGUCGCCAGGUCAGGACCCCUGCGAACCCGCGACCCCAUCGCCCAGAGAGGCCGGGUUCGGUGGAACCCCGGCCCCGGAGGCGGGGCCCGGGCGAGCCCGAGGAGGGAGGUGAGAAGACUCCUGACCGGAGGAAGCAGACGGCGUAGCUGCGUACGGUGGCCCCAGCCUGAGGCCCGAGGGGAACGAACCGAACUUCUGUGGGUGUGAGCGCGGAGCCCUGCCCGGGACAACGCUUAACUCUAGCGGACGGGCACGUAUGGAGGCCACACAGACCCAGUGCUGCCCCUGUGUAUCCUGGGCAAAUCACUCUGAACACCCGUUUCUCCGUCUGCGAAAUGGGUAAACUGUACCAAUUCACAGCCCGCUGUGAGGAUUUAAGUAACGACACAAGUAAGUCACCCGGGGUAGAGAUCUAAAACCUCCUGCCUGGGAGCCAAAUCCA